Molecule: long non-coding RNA, 766 nt
Organism: Nicotiana tabacum (common tobacco)
Lineage: Eukaryota; Viridiplantae; Streptophyta; Magnoliopsida; Solanales; Solanaceae
Source: RefSeq, a predicted model, not a curated record
ACGAAGCAGAAAGCUUUGAAACAGCGAAAAAACGAAAAGAAAAAAGAGCAGAGGAAGAAAGAAGGAAAAGAGAAAAGAAGGAGGAAGAAGUGGGUGCAGUGUAUUGGAGCCAUAGUUAUAACUGUUGAGGAAUCUUAAGCACAAAUUGUCUCUUACGGAUUGAUUGGAGGAAUUUGUACGAAUUGCUCGAGGUGAAGCAUUUGGUAUUUCGGCACGAGUACUAGACAACAGCUGACUCGGGCGAGGAUCUCGUUAAUUAGAGCGCACAGGUUGAGAAUUCUUGGUGAGCCUCGCACUUGUUCGCGUGGGCAGAGAUUUUAUUUAUUGUUAUGGUCUUUCCAUUGAACUCUUAGAGUUGCUCCAUAGUCAGUAUUUUAGUGUCAUGAGUAUUUUUUUGUUAUUAUAGUCUUAUGUUGAGUAUUGUUCUCAUUUAUCAAGUUGGAGAUAAAUUAGUAUUUCUAGUGGUUAGUUGGUGAUUUAGUUAUGGUGGAGACAUGUAUUGGUUAAUUGACAAGUUGUCAAUUGUUUGGUAUGAUAUUAGGAUGUUUGGUUGUUGAUUUGAGACAUGAAAUUUUUUUGGGAUGGUCCAAAAACAGGGGAAACUCUACCCGGUUUUCUGUAAAAUUACUGAUGAGGCUUACUUGGGAGCACUUCUCCUAAGCGCCGGUCACAAUCCUAAAUUGGGUCGUGACAGAUUCCAUCCUUGAUAGUUACAGUAGUGCACACACAAGGGAGAAUUUCAUUUAUUGAAGUUGAAUUAUUUUUA